Molecule: long non-coding RNA, 209 nt
Organism: Astyanax mexicanus (Mexican tetra)
Lineage: Eukaryota; Metazoa; Chordata; Actinopteri; Characiformes; Acestrorhamphidae
Exons: 3
Source: RefSeq, a predicted model, not a curated record
AAUGCAUUAACUGCACAGAUGGGAGAUCACGGACUGGACUGAUCAUUGUUCUGAUCCUAGUGGUUGCGUUGAUCAUCUGUGUUCUGAUCUAUAAGAAACCUCAAUGUGUGAACAACUCUUCAGCUCCUUCAGAUCCAGGAAGUCCAGAUGAAUUACCCUCCAACAGCAAUGGUGGUGUUCCUAACGGUAAAUAUUAUUAUAUUGUGGGU